Molecule: ribosomal RNA, 253 nt
Filed under: uncultured bacterium
Lineage: Bacteria
Description: partial 16S ribosomal RNA
Rfam family: Bacterial small subunit ribosomal RNA
Source: RNAcentral
UACGUAGGGGGCAAGCGUUGUCCGGAUUUAUUGGGCGUAAAGAGCGUGUAGGCGGCCGCACAGGUCCGUUGUGAAAACUGGAGGCUUAACCUUCAGACGUCGAUGGAAACCGUGCGGCUAGAGUCCGGAAGAGGAGUGUGGAAUUCCUGGUGUAGCGGUGAAAUGCGCAGAUAUCAGGAAGAACACCUAUGGCGAAGGCAGCACUCUGGGACGGUACUGACGCUGAGACGCGAAAGCGUGGGGAGCGAACAGG